Molecule: ribosomal RNA, 1071 nt
Filed under: Lacticaseibacillus casei
Lineage: Bacteria; Bacillati; Bacillota; Bacilli; Lactobacillales; Lactobacillaceae
Description: bacterial SSU rRNA
Rfam family: Bacterial small subunit ribosomal RNA
Source: RNAcentral
AGCACGCCGCGUGAGUGAAGAAGGCUUUCGGGUCGUAAAACUCUGUUGUUGGAGAAGAAUGGUCGGCAGAGUAACUGUUGYCGGCGUGACGGUAUCCAACCAGAAAGCCACGGCUAACUACGUGCCAGCAGCCGCGGUAAUACGUAGGUGGCAAGCGUUAUCCGGAUUUAUUGGGCGUAAAGCGAGCGCAGGCGGUUUUUUAAGUCUGAUGUGAAAGCCCUCGGCUUAACCGAGGAAGCGCAUCGGAAACUGGGAAACUUGAGUGCAGAAGAGGACAGUGGAACUCCAUGUGUAGCGGUGAAAUGCGUAGAUAUAUGGAAGAACACCAGUGGCGAAGGCGGCUGUCUGGUCUGUAACUGACGCUGAGGCUCGAAAGCAUGGGUAGCGAACAGGAUUAGAUACCCUGGUAGUCCAUGCCGUAAACGAUGAAUGCUAGGUGUUGGAGGGUUUCCGCCCUUCAGUGCCGCAGCUAACGCAUUAAGCAUUCCGCCUGGGGAGUACGACCGCAAGGUUGAAACUCAAAGGAAUUGACGGGGGCCCGCACAAGCGGUGGAGCAUGUGGUUUAAUUCGAAGCAACGCGAAGAACCUUACCAGGUCUUGACAUCUUUUGAUCACCUGAGAGAUCAGGUUUCCCCUUCGGGGGCAAAAUGACAGGUGGUGCAUGGUUGUCGUCAGCUCGUGUCGUGAGAUGUUGGGUUAAGUCCCGCAACGAGCGCAACCCUUAUGACUAGUUGCCAGCAUUUAGUUGGGCACUCUAGUAAGACUGCCGGUGACAAACCGGAGGAAGGUGGGGAUGACGUCAAAUCAUCAUGCCCCUUAUGACCUGGGCUACACACGUGCUACAAUGGAUGGUACAACGAGUUGCGAGACCGCGAGGUCAAGCUAAUCUCUUAAAGCCAUUCUCAGUUCGGACUGUAGGCUGCAACUCGCCUACACGAAGUCGGAAUCGCUAGUAAUCGCGGAUCAGCACGCCGCGGUGAAUACGUUCCCGGGCCUUGUACACACCGCCCGUCACACCAUGAGAGUUUGUAACACCCGAAGCCGGUGGCGUAACCCUUUUAGGGAGCGAG